This 494-nucleotide ribosomal RNA is filed under the name uncultured bacterium. RNAcentral describes it as "partial 16S ribosomal RNA". It matches the Rfam family "Bacterial small subunit ribosomal RNA", at positions 28 to 507 of the family's 1533-position model. The record is from RNAcentral.
GACGAACGCUGGCGGCGUGCUUAACACAUGCAAGUCGAACGGUGAAGCGCCUUCCUUUUUGGUGGGUGUGGAUGAGUGGCGAACGGGUGAGUAACACGUGAGUAACCUGCCCCCUUCUUCUGGAUAACCGCAUGAAAGUGUGGCUAAUACGGGAUAUUCUGGGUCUGUCGCAUGAUGGGUCUGGGAAAGAUAUUGUUUCGGUGGGGGAUGGGCUCGCGGCCUAUCAGCUUGUUGGUGGGGUGAUGGCCUACCAAGGCGGUGACGGGUAGCCGGCCUGAGAGGGUGGACGGUCACACUGGGACUGAGACACGGACCAGACUCCUACGGGAGGCAGCAGUGGGGAAUAUUGCACGAUGGGCGCAAGCCUGAUGCAGCGACGCCGCGUGAGGGAUGGAGGCCUGCGGGUUGUGAACCUCUUUCGCCAGUGAAGCAGGCCUGCCUCGUUUGUGGGUGGGUUGACGGUAGCUGGAUAAGAAGCGCCGGCUAACUACGUG